GACGAACGCUGGCGGCAUGCCUAAUACAUGCAAGUCGAGCGAACAGAUGAAGUGCUUGCACUUCUGACGUUAGCGGCGAACGGGUGAGUAACACGUAAGGAAUCUACCUAUAAGCGGGGGAUAACAUUCGGAAACGGGUGCUAAUACCGCAUAAUAUCUUCUUCCGCAUGGAAGAAGAUUGAAAGACGGCUCUGCUGUCACUUAUAGAUGACCUUGCGGUGCAUUAGUUAGUUGGUGGGGUAACGGCCUACCAAGACGAUGAUGCAUAGCCGACCUGAGGGGGUGAUCGGCCACAUUGGGACGGGGCGACGGCCCAAACUCCUGCGGGAGGCAGCAGUAGGGAAUCUUCCGCAAUGAGCGAAGGCCUGACGGAGCAAUGCGGCGUGAGUGAAGAAGGCCUUCGGGUCGUAAAACUCUGUUAUAAGAGAAGAGCAAAUUGUAGAGUAACUGCUACAGUCUUGACGGUAUCUUAUCAGAAAGCCACGGCUAACUACGUGCCAGCCGCCGCCGUAA
Molecule: ribosomal RNA, 513 nt
Filed under: uncultured bacterium
Lineage: Bacteria
Description: partial 16S ribosomal RNA
Rfam family: Bacterial small subunit ribosomal RNA
Source: RNAcentral